GAACGAACGCUGGCGGCGUGCCUAACACAUGCAAGUCGAACGAGAAUGCAGGCUUCGGUCUGCUAGUAAAGUGGCGCACGGGUGAGUAACACGUGGGUAACGUACAUCGUAGUGGGGAUAACCAGGUGAAGCUUGGCUAAUACCGCAUGAGUCCGUCGGGACGAAGGUUCUGACGGGGAAAGUGGAGCAAUCCACGCUACGAGAUCGGCCCGCGGCCCAUUAGCUAGUUGGUGAGGUAACGGCCCCACCAAGGCGACGAUGGGUAGCUGGUCUGAGAGGGAUGAUCAGCCACACUGGAACUGAGACACGGUCCAGACUCCUACGGGAGGCAGCAGUGGGGAAUUUUGCGCAAUGGGCGAAAGCCUGACGCAGCAACGCCGCGUGUGUGACGAAGGCCCUA
This 400-nucleotide ribosomal RNA is filed under the name uncultured bacterium. RNAcentral's name for it is "bacterial SSU rRNA". It matches the Rfam family "Bacterial small subunit ribosomal RNA", at positions 27 to 419 of the family's 1533-position model. The record is from RNAcentral.